GUUUACUGUCAAUUCCUCAGGUAUGACCCCGAGACAGAGGAACCGGAGAUCAGUGAACCUGAAUCUGCAAGGUCUAGUAGGCGUUCCCUACGGUCACGUAGCUUCAAGGACUUAAUGGGCUUUGUUGAUAAAAGAGAAGCUGAGAUAAAAGAAAUGCUCAAACGUAAGAACAGUGACAACAAGAAACAGAUAAGUCAUAUCUCAGAUGUGCAACAGAACUCUCCUGUUUAAAAUGUUGUUGGGU
Molecule: unclassified non-coding RNA, 244 nt
Filed under: Hevea brasiliensis (rubber tree)
Lineage: Eukaryota; Viridiplantae; Streptophyta; Magnoliopsida; Malpighiales; Euphorbiaceae
Source: RNAcentral